Molecule: small nuclear RNA, 107 nt
Filed under: Hofstenia miamia
Lineage: Eukaryota; Metazoa; Xenacoelomorpha; Acoela; Hofsteniidae
Source: RNAcentral
GUGCUAGCUUCGGCAGCACAUAUACUAAAAUUGGAACGAUACAGAGAAGAUUAGAAUGGCCCCUGCGCAAGGAUGACACGCAAAAUCGUGAAGCGUUCCUAAUUUUU